GCCCGAGUAGCUCAGUGGAAGAGCAGUUGCCUUCUAAGCAAAAGGUCGCAGGUUCGAUCCCUACCUCGGGUACCA
RNAcentral lists this transfer RNA (75 nucleotides) under Candidatus Peribacteria bacterium. RNAcentral's name for it is "tRNA-Arg". It matches the Rfam family "tRNA". From Rfam's summary of the family: Transfer RNA (tRNA) molecules are approximately 80 nucleotides in length. Their secondary structure includes four short double-helical elements and three loops (D, anti-codon, and T loops). The record is from RNAcentral. Lineage: Bacteria; Candidatus Peregrinibacteriota; Candidatus Peribacteria.